CGGCGUGCCUAAUACAUGCAAGUCGAGCGAACAGAUAAGGAGCUUGCUCCUUUGACGUUAGCGGCGGACGGGUGAGUAACACGUGGAUAACCUACCUAUAAGACUGGGAUAACUUCGGGAAACCGGAGCUAAUACCGGAUAACAUAUUGAACCGCAUGGUUCAAUAGUGAAAGGCGGCUUUGCUGUCACUUAUAGAUGGAUCCGCGCCGUAUUAGCUAGUUGGUAAGGUAACGGCUUACCAAGGCAACGAUACGUAGCCAACCUGAGAGGGUGAUCGGCCACACUGGAACUGAGACACGGUCCAGACUCCUACGGGAGGCAGCAGUAGGGAAUCUUCCGCAAUGGGCGAAAGCCUGACGGAGCAACGCCGCGUGAGUGAUGAAGGUCUUCGGAUCGUAAAACUCUGUUAUCAGGGAAGAACAAAUGUGUAAGUAACUGUGCACAUCUUGACGGUACCUGAUCAGAAAGCCACGGCUAACUACGUGCCAGCAGCCGCGGUAAUACGUAGGUGGCAAGCGUUAUCCGGAAUUAUUGGGCGUAAAGCGCGCGUAGGCGGUUUUUUAAGUCUGAUGUGAAAGCCCACGGCUCAACCGUGGAGGGUCAUUGGAAACUGGAAAACUUGA
This 623-nucleotide ribosomal RNA is filed under the name uncultured bacterium. Its description in RNAcentral is "bacterial SSU rRNA". It matches the Rfam family "Bacterial small subunit ribosomal RNA", at positions 40 to 645 of the family's 1533-position model. The record is from RNAcentral.